UGAAAUGGCUAUGAUAAGGGACUGAUGACA
This 30-nucleotide non-coding RNA is filed under the name Mus musculus (house mouse). The record is from RNAcentral. Lineage: Eukaryota; Metazoa; Chordata; Mammalia; Rodentia; Muridae.